This 699-nucleotide ribosomal RNA is filed under the name uncultured bacterium. RNAcentral describes it as "bacterial SSU rRNA". It matches the Rfam family "Bacterial small subunit ribosomal RNA", at positions 8 to 700 of the family's 1533-position model. The record is from RNAcentral.
AGAGUUUGAUCCUUGGCUCAGAACGAACGCUGGCGGCGUGGAUAAGACAUGCAAGUCGAACGAGAACUAUGAAUAGCUUGCUAAUUGUAGUUUUAGUGGCGGACGGGUGCGUAACACGUGAGCAACCUACCCUAAAGUGGGGGAUAGCCUUUCGAAAGGAAGAUUAAUACCGCAUGUGAUCUUAGGAUCAAAGAUGGCUUCGGCUGUCGCUUUGGGAUGGGCUCGCGGCCUAUCAGUUAGUUGGUGAGGUAACGGCUCACCAAGACGACGACGGGUAGCUGGUCUGAGAGGACGAUCAGCCUCACUGGAACUGAGACACGGUCCAGACACCUACGGGUGGCAGCAGUCGAGAAUCAUUCACAAUGGACGAAAGUCUGAUGGUGCAACGCCGCGUGGAGGAUGAAGGCCCUAGGGUCGUAAACUCCUGUCAUCGGAGAGUAAGCCUUGGUCGUUAAUAGCUUCCAAGGUUGAUAGUAUCCGAAGAGGAAGGGACGGCUAACUUCGUGCCAGCAGCCGCGGUAAUACGAAGGUCCCAAGCGUUGUUCGGAAUCACUGGGCGUAAAGAGUAUGUAGGCGGUUUGGAAAGUCAGAUGUGAAAGCCCGGGGCUCAACCUCGGAACUGCAUCCGAUACUCCCAAACUUGAGUAAUGGAGGGGUAACUGGAAUUCUCGGUGUAGCAGUGAAAUGCGUAGAUAUCUA